RNAcentral lists this ribosomal RNA (398 nucleotides) under uncultured bacterium. Its description in RNAcentral is "bacterial SSU rRNA". It matches the Rfam family "Bacterial small subunit ribosomal RNA", at positions 28 to 428 of the family's 1533-position model. The record is from RNAcentral.
GACGAACGCUGGCGGCGUGCUUAACACAUGCAAGUCGAGCGGUAAGGCCCUUUCGGGGGUACGACGAGCGGCGAACGGGUGAGUAACACGUGGGUGACCUGCCCUUAGCUCUGGGAUAAGCCUGGGAAACUGGGUCUAAUACCGGAUAUGACUCCAUGACGCAUGUUGUGGGGUGGAAAGCCUUGUGCGGCUAGGGAUGGGCCCGCGGCCUAUCAGCUUGUUGGUGGGGUGAUGGCCUACCAAGGCGACGACGGGUAGCCGGCCUGAGAGGGCGACCGGCCACACUGGGACUGAGACACGGCCCAGACUCCUACGGGAGGCAGCAGUGGGGAAUCUUGCGCAAUGGGCGAAAGCCUGACGCAGCGACGCCGCGUGAGGGAUGACGGCCUUGGUUGUAA